UGGGGAAUAUUGCACAAUGGGCGCAAGCCUGAUACAGCCAUGCCGCGUGUGUGAAGAAGGCCUUCGGGUUGUAAAGCACUUUCAGCGGGGAGGAAGGCGUUAAGGUUAAUAACCUUGGCGAUUGACGUUACCCGCAGAAGAAGCACCGGCUAACUCCGUGCCAGCAGCCGCGGUAAUACGGAGGGUGCAAGCGUUAAUCGGAAUUACUGGGCGUAAAGCGCACGCAGGCGGUCUGUCAAGUCGGAUGUGAAAUCCCCGGGCUCAACCUGGGAACUGCAUUCGAAACUGGCAGGCUAGAGUCUUGUAGAGGGGGGUAGAAUUCCAGGUGUAGCGGUGAAAUGCGUAGAGAUCUGGAGGAAUACCGGUGGCGAAGGCGGCCCCCUGGACGAAGACUGACGCUCAGGUGCGAAAGCGUGGGGAGCAAACAGG
This 429-nucleotide ribosomal RNA is filed under the name Chloroflexota bacterium. RNAcentral's name for it is "Chloroflexi bacterium partial 16S ribosomal RNA". It matches the Rfam family "Bacterial small subunit ribosomal RNA", at positions 355 to 776 of the family's 1533-position model. The record is from RNAcentral. Lineage: Bacteria; Bacillati; Chloroflexota.